UACAGAGACUGCAAGCGUUAUUCGGAUUCACUGGGCGUAAAGGGUGCGCAGGCGGCCAAGUGUGUGAGGCGUGAAAGCCCAGGGCUUAACCCUGGAAUUGCACCUCAAACUACAUGGCUAGAGCAUUGGAGAGGGAAGCGGAAUUCACGGUGUAGCAGUGAAAUGCGUAGAUAUCGUGAGGAACACCAGAGGCGAAGGCGGCUUUCUGGACAAUUGCUGACGCUCAGGCACGAAAGCGUGGGGAGCAAAAGGG
This 253-nucleotide ribosomal RNA is filed under the name uncultured bacterium. RNAcentral's name for it is "partial 16S ribosomal RNA". It matches the Rfam family "Bacterial small subunit ribosomal RNA", at positions 524 to 776 of the family's 1533-position model. The record is from RNAcentral.